ACACCAGAAGGCUGGCACCAGACGAGGGAGGAAGAGAAUUGCAACCUGUCCUUCUGGGAGGCAAGGCUGACCGCUCAUGUUUUUUCUUCCCUCCCUGGUUUUGCCCUUUCAGGACUCACCCUUCCCCAGGAGAGGAGGCUGGAUGACUCAUUGGCCCUUGCUGUUCUGAAAGCCGUGGCCCAGGUAUCUUUUGAUGGCUGUAUCUCCCUUUACGAAGGAAGUUGUGCUGCUCUCCAUAGAAAUAUCAAGAACAUACGGACCCUUCUCUUGAAUUGCCAAAAUCGUCUUACGUGCUCAUCUGCCUCAGCUUAUUCUCUGGGUUCUUCUAUUUCCAGGCCAGAUGUGAUCUCCUUAUCGGAACAAGGGAAAGAACCCUUGGGGGCACAAAGAGAUGUGACAGGAAGCCUGUGCCCAGCUGAGUGAAGGAUCAUUAAGAAGGGCAGUGGCGCUGUAGGUAAUGGCUCAGACGGUUAGCAGGACGCGGCACCUUUGAGACAAUGCCUGGAAAGUUCCCCUCAAAGUCCCUAGUGUUCAGAGCAGAGCAUUACUCCCAUCAGGGUGAGCGCCUGGAGGGGCUUCUCGUACUCACACACACCACCCCCUGCACCCUCCCCAUGCUUCUCCCCGCUCAAAGAGGAAGGCGAGUUCUUUGAAGUACAACUUUUUACCUACCCAGGGAACACUGUUUCUUUCCAGUUUCUCCCCCACCCCCUUUUUAUACUUAUUUUGAGAGAGACGAAGCAUGAGUGGGGGAGGGGCAGAAAGAGUGAGAAUCCCAAGCAGGCUCCACACUCUCAGCACAGAGCCUGACGCGGGGCUCGAACUCACGAACCAUGAGAUCAUGACCUGAGCCAAAGUCAGACACUUAACUGACCUAGCCACCCAGGCGCCCCUCCCCCACCACUUUUUAAACAGUUGGAUCAUUGUUUCCAUCCGAUAAUAUGGUUCUAAAAAUAGUUUAUUUUGGUUACCUCCCAAUGAUUUUUCUUCCUUUGAUAUGUAUUUCCAGAUUCAGAUUUUGUACAUUCUUUCUUUCAUGCUUUAAAAAAAACUUUUUUUUAACAUGUUCAAAUUUUCCAAUUUGAGUCAGGCUCUCUGCAAUAACGUGGGUCCCAAGGUUGCUUCUGAUUCAUCCUCAGAUGUAGGAUUAGACCAGCCUGUAAUUUCUGCUGUCAGACAUUUCUUAAACAUUUCCUAAAAUUCUAUGUAGUCAAUUUUUAAAUAAUUCUUAUCAUACCCCUGUGAGAAACACAUGUAUUAAGUAGAGUACAACGUUUAUGUAUGAGUUUUUUUCUCUUUAGUCUUACAGUAUGUGAUCAAAAUACUGUUUUCUAAAUAUACUAAAAUUGGUUCUUUUCUUCCCCACUCCCUUCAUCGUGGCUGUAUUUAUUUGUAGUACAGGCAGGUUCAUUCAUUACUGUUU
Molecule: long non-coding RNA, 1423 nt
Filed under: Felis catus (domestic cat)
Lineage: Eukaryota; Metazoa; Chordata; Mammalia; Carnivora; Felidae
Description: lncRNA (ENSFCAG00000048354.1)
Source: RNAcentral